Molecule: ribosomal RNA, 862 nt
Filed under: Phlebia sp.
Lineage: Eukaryota; Fungi; Basidiomycota; Agaricomycetes; Polyporales; Meruliaceae
Description: partial large subunit ribosomal RNA
Rfam family: Eukaryotic large subunit ribosomal RNA
Source: RNAcentral
UAACAAGGAUUCCCCUAGUAACUGCGAGUGAAGCGGGAAAAGCUCAAAUUUAAAAUCUGGCGGUCUUCGGCCGUCCGAGUUGUAGUCUGGAGAAGCGUCUUCCGCGCUGGACCGUGUACAAGUCUCCUGGAACGGAGCGUCAUAGAGGGUGAGAAUCCCGUCUUUGACACGGACUACCAGUGCUUUGUGAUGCGCUCUCAAAGAGUCGAGUUGUUUGGGAAUGCAGCUCAAAAUGGGUGGUAAAUUCCAUCUAAAGCUAAAUAUUGGCGAGAGACCGAUAGCGAACAAGUACCGUGAGGGAAAGAUGAAAAGCACUUUGGAAAGAGAGUUAAACAGUACGUGAAAUUGCUGAAAGGGAAACGCUUGAAGUCAGUCGCGUUUGCUAGAACUCAGCCUGCCUUUUGGUUGGUGCAUUUUCUAGUUAACGGGCCAGCAUCAGUUUUGGCUGCGGGAUAAAGGCCAGGGGAAUGUGGCAACUUCGGUUGUGUUAUAGCCCCUGGUCAUAUACCGUGGCUGGGACUGAGGAUCUCAGCACGCCUUACGGCGGGGCUUCGGCCACCUUCGUGCUUAGGAUGCUGGCGUAAUGGCUUUAAACGACCCGUCUUGAAACACGGACCAAGGAGUCUAACAUGCCUGCGAGUGUUUGGGUGGAAAACCCGAGCGCGUAAUGAAAGUGAAAGUUGGGACCUCUGUCGUGGAGGGCACCGACGCCCGGACCAGACCUUCUGUGACGGCUCCGCGGUAGAGCAUGUAUGUUGGGACCCGAAAGAUGGUGAACUAUGCCUGAAUAGGGUGAAGCCAGAGGAAACUCUGGUGGAGGCUCGUAGCGAUUCUGACGUGCAAAUCGAUCGUCAAAUUUGGG